Molecule: ribosomal RNA, 516 nt
Filed under: Micromonospora sp. PC4039
Lineage: Bacteria; Bacillati; Actinomycetota; Actinomycetes; Micromonosporales; Micromonosporaceae
Description: bacterial SSU rRNA
Rfam family: Bacterial small subunit ribosomal RNA
Source: RNAcentral
CCUUCGGGGUACUCGAGCGGCGAACGGGUGAGUAACACGUGAGCAACCUGCCCUAGGCUUUGGGAUAACCCCGGGAAACCGGGGCUAAUACCGAAUAGGACCUCCGACCGCAUGGUCGGGGGUGGAAAGUUUUUCGGCCUGGGAUGGGCUCGCGGCCUAUCAGCUUGUUGGUGGGGUGAUGGCCUACCAAGGCGACGACGGGUAGCCGGCCUGAGAGGGCGACCGGCCACACUGGGACUGAGACACGGCCCAGACUCCUACGGGAGGCAGCAGUGGGGAAUAUUGCACAAUGGGCGGAAGCCUGAUGCAGCGACGCCGCGUGAGGGAUGACGGCCUUCGGGUUGUAAACCUCUUUCAGCAGGGACGAAGCGUAAGUGACGGUACCUGCAGAAGAAGCGCCGGCCAACUACGUGCCAGCAGCCGCGGUAAGACGUAGGGCGCGAGCGUUGUCCGGAUUUAUUGGGCGUAAAGAGCUCGUAGGCGGCUUGUCGCGUCGACUGUGAAAACCCGCAGCUC